This 440-nucleotide ribosomal RNA is filed under the name uncultured bacterium. RNAcentral's name for it is "partial 16S ribosomal RNA". It matches the Rfam family "Bacterial small subunit ribosomal RNA", at positions 338 to 795 of the family's 1533-position model. The record is from RNAcentral.
CCUACGGGAGGCAGCAGUGGGGAAUAUUGCACAAUGGGGGAAACCCUGAUGCAGCGACGCCGCGUGAGUGAAGAAGUAUUUCGGUAUGUAAACUUCUAUCAGCAGGGAAGAAAAUGACGGUACCUGACUAAGAAGCCCCGGCUAACUACGUGCCAGCAGCCGCGGUAAUACGUAGGGGGCAAGCGUUAUCCGGAUUUACUGGGUGUAAAGGGAGCGUAGACGGCAGAGCAAGUCUGGAGUGAAAUCCCGGGGCUGAACCCCGGGACUGCUUUGGAAACUGGGCGGCUGGAGUGCAGGAGGGGGAAGGGGAAUUCCGAGUGUAGCGGUGAAAUGCGUAGAUAUUAGGAGGAACACCAGUGGCGAAGGCGGCUUACUGGACGAUGACUGACGUUGAGGCUCGAAAGCGUGGGGAGCAAACAGGAUUAGAUACCCGAGUAGUC